AGAUUGAACGCUGGCGGCAUGCCUUACACAUGCAAGUCGAACGGUAACAGGUUAAGCUGACGAGUGGCGAACGGGUGAGUAAUAUAUCGGAACGUGCCCAGUAGUGGGGGAUAGCCCGGCGAAAGCCGGAUUAAUACCGCAUACGACCUACGGGUGAAAGGGGGGGAUCGCAAGACCUCUCGCUAUUGGAGCGGCCGAUAUCAGAUUAGCUAGUUGGUGGGGUAAAAGCCUACCAAGGCGACGAUCUGUAGCUGGUCUGAGAGGACGGCCAGCCACACUGGGACUGAGACACGGCCCAGACUCCUACGGGAGGCAGCAGUGGGGAAUUUUGGACAAUGGACGCAAGUCUGAUCCAGCCAUGCCGCGUGCGGGAAGAAGGCCUUCGGGUUGUAAACCGUCUUUGUCAGGGAAGAAAUCCUUUGAAAUAAUACUUCGGAGGGAUGACGGUACCUGAAGAAUAAGCACCGGCUAACUACGUGCCAGCAGCCGCGGU
This 493-nucleotide ribosomal RNA is filed under the name uncultured bacterium. RNAcentral describes it as "SSU rRNA". It matches the Rfam family "Bacterial small subunit ribosomal RNA", at positions 26 to 521 of the family's 1533-position model. The record is from RNAcentral.